GUGUGGUUGGAGGGAGAACGAAUGGAUUGUGGGAGCGAGAGAGGAAGAGGGGAGACCCACUGAGGGGCUGGUGGCUUCCAGGAGAGGGCGAGGAGCGGACGCUCCUAUUUGUUGGGGUCUCCUGGUCAGAGGAGAAUAAUCUGCAAGUUCACUUCCAAAUCCCACGGGUUUAGGCUGAGGGUCCAAAUCUAGCACUCGCCAGUUCAUCCAAAGCUGCUUUUUUGGUGAGAAAUCGUAGCUUUGCCAGUGCGUGAUGCAGGUGGGUAAGAAGCCCGAUUUCCUUGCUGCAUUUCACAGAGAAACAGGAGCCGUGUCCCUCAUCCACCUGCUGCUCUGGUGGCAGCAGGAGAGACGGACAGGUGAGCAGACGGCAGAGAGGGGAUUUCCCAGGUUUACUGAUGCUGGACGUGGGGGCUGAGGGCGAGGGUCCCAGACGACCCCUGAGAGCAGCAGGGGUGGGCACGAACCCACAGGGCAGCCCACGCCCCCGGCACUGAUGUCUGGGGCAACACACGAGAGGAACAAGGUGAAGGAAGCUAAACAGUAGACAGCUUGAACAGAAGUCACGAGGGCGCACGCAGCCCCAGCUCCCUGGGGACAAGACACUCAGCCGUCCCAGUGGAGCCCGGCGCUCAUUCCCAAGGCUACAGACAGACCCCCAAGGGAGAACCAGGUCCCCUUCACAACCCAGGGAGGACGCCAAGAGCCCCCCCACCCCGAGUGUCACCAGCAUCCGACGCCGACUGGAGAGCCAGCAUGGCUGUCGGCCCCUGCGGAGACCACGAGGUGGUCCAGCCAUCAUCCGUCACCGUCUCCUGCGAUACCUGGAGCGCAGGCAGCCGGUGGGGGCCGUGCAUGAGUUUCACGUUCAUUCUGCAGCACGAGGAGGCCUGACAACGGCGCCAGGAGGGCUUUCGAAAAAAGAUAAAUGCACGACGUGGAAAGGGGGUGAACCCGCACCCCUUGCCUUCAGCCAGGAGGCCCCUCAGUUGUUUAAGCAGCACUGGUCUGGGUCCCAUUCUACCGCCGGCGAUGUCGGAAGACCCCGGCUCACCGAAUGGACCAUUCUUUCCCCUUCUCCGGUUCUCUCUUACCACAGGAAGAAAGAAAACACACAGAGCCCCCAGGGGACCCAAUGUUCCAGAUUGAAGCUGCGCCGUCACCUACCUGGUCCUGAGGUGAGGACGAAGUGGAGCCAAGCUGCUUGCCUCCCUGAGGGACGUGGAGUGAGAGCCAGAAGUAAUCCUUUGCUUAAGUGACUGAGAUUUUCAGAGCUGUUCAUUACGGCAGCAAAACCUAGAACCCCACACCUGCCCGUGGCCUUCCACGGAACGAGCACGUAGAAGGAGCCAGCACAGCCCCAGUGGAACAGGUCUUGUGGGAUUAGCACAAAAAUUGC
This 1399-nucleotide long non-coding RNA is filed under the name Equus caballus (horse). Its description in RNAcentral is "lncRNA (ENSECAG00000049892.1)". The record is from RNAcentral. Lineage: Eukaryota; Metazoa; Chordata; Mammalia; Perissodactyla; Equidae.